CCUACGGGUGGCAGCAGUGGGGGAUAUUGCACAAUGGGGGGAACCCUGAUGCAGCGACGCCGCGUGGGUGAAGAAGCGCCUCGGCGCGUAAAGCCCUGUCAGCAGGGAAGAAGAAAGACGGUACCUGACUAAGAAGCCCCGGCUAACUACGUGCCAGCAGCCGCGGUAAUACGUAGGGGGCAAGCGUUAUCCGGAUUUACUGGGUGUAAAGGGAGCGUAGACGGCUGUGCAAGUCUGAAGUGAAAGCCCGUGGCUCAACCGCGGAACUGCUUUGGAAACUGUAUAGCUUGAGUACUGGAGAGGCAGGCGGAAUUCCUAGUGUAGCGGUGAAAUGCGUAGAUAUUAGGAGGAACACCAGUGGCGAAGGCGGCAUACCGGCUCCACACUGACGCUGAGGCACGAAAGCGUGGGUAUCGAACAGGAUUAGAUACCCUAGUAGUC
Molecule: ribosomal RNA, 441 nt
Filed under: uncultured bacterium
Lineage: Bacteria
Description: partial 16S ribosomal RNA
Rfam family: Bacterial small subunit ribosomal RNA
Source: RNAcentral